This 383-nucleotide ribosomal RNA is filed under the name uncultured eukaryote. RNAcentral's name for it is "partial 18S ribosomal RNA". It matches the Rfam family "Eukaryotic small subunit ribosomal RNA", at positions 592 to 976 of the family's 1831-position model. The record is from RNAcentral.
CAAUAGCGUAUAUUAAAGUUGUUGCAGUUAAAAAGCUCGUAGUUGGAUUUCUGGUGGGAGCGAUCGGUCUGGCGCUUAGCGCGAGUACUUGCAUCGUCUCUGGCCAUCCUUGGGGAGAGUCUGUCUGGCAUUAGGUUGUCGGGCAGAGGAUCCUCAUCGUUUACUGUGAAAAAAUUAGAGUGUUCAAAGCAGGCUUAUGCCGUUGAAUAUAUUAGCAUGGAAUAAUAAGAUAGGACUUUGGUACUAUUUUGUUGGUUUGCGCACCAAAGUAAUGAUUAAUAGGGACAGUUGGGGGUAUUCGUAUUCCGUUGUCAGAGGUGAAAUUCUUGGAUUUACGGAAGACGAACUACUGCGAAAGCAUUUACCAAGGAUGUUUUCAUUAA